CUUUAUUGGAAGUAAGAUAUGUAAGAAGGUGCAUAAUUGGCCAAGUGCUCCAGGGGUUAUAAAGACUGCCUUCCUGUAGCUGGAAUAGACAGAUUUAGCCUCUUACUGAAACUGAAGGCUGCAAUGGCGAUAACAAAUCUGAUUCUAACUCUCCCAUGUCACUGCUGCCCAAAGGUGCCUUUGUCUCCCAGGAGAAAGAGGUUGGAGGCUCCACUAUAUUUUGAAUAAAAAAAAAAAAUCUUUCCAAAACCAAGAAGAUCCAUCAUGAUCUGGCCUCAACUACCUGUCCAACCCACCAGCCACAUCGACCUUCUGUUCAGCUGCUAAGAAAACUUAACAAUUUUCUGGUUUCAGAACUAUCACACACUCUUCUCUCUGCCUGCAAUGGCCCUCACCCAAGUGGCUGACUGUAUGUUCCAUGAAAGAAGGGGCCACCAAGUAUAUACACAGUUCCUGGUAUAAUCUUGGCUCAUAAUAGGCUCUCGAUAAAUGUUUGCUGGAAAGCGUGGUGACAGAAGAUCC
This is a long non-coding RNA of Bos taurus (domestic cattle), 522 nucleotides long. Lineage: Eukaryota; Metazoa; Chordata; Mammalia; Artiodactyla; Bovidae. The record is from Ensembl.